UACGUAGGGGGCAAGCGUUAUCCGGAUUUACUGGGUGUAAAGGGCGUGCAGCCGGAGAGGCAAGUCAGAUGUGAAAUCCACGGGCUCAACCCGUGAACUGCAUUUGAAACUGUUUCCCUUGAGUGUCGGAGAGGUAAUCGGAAUUCCUUGUGUAGCGGUGAAAUGCGUAGAUAUAAGGAAGAACACCAGUGGCGAAGGCGGAUUACUGGACGAUAACUGACGGUGAGGCGCGAAAGCGUGGGGAGCAAACAGG
RNAcentral lists this ribosomal RNA (253 nucleotides) under uncultured bacterium. RNAcentral describes it as "partial 16S ribosomal RNA". It matches the Rfam family "Bacterial small subunit ribosomal RNA", at positions 524 to 776 of the family's 1533-position model. The record is from RNAcentral.